Non-coding RNA from Zonotrichia albicollis (white-throated sparrow), 254 nucleotides. NCBI's taxonomy places the organism in Eukaryota, Metazoa, Chordata, Aves, Passeriformes, Passerellidae. The record is from RefSeq and is a predicted model, not a curated record.
GUGCCCUCACAAAGCUCUCUGUGCUUCCAGGGAAGUACCUCCGACAAAAGAGAAUCGACUUCCAGCUGCCCUACGACAUCCUCUGGCAGUGGAAGCACAACCAGUUGUAUAAAAAGCCAGAUGUCCCACUUUAUAAAAAAAUCCGUUCCAAUGUCUACGUGGAUGUCAAACCUCUCUCUGGCUACGAGGCCACCACCUGCAAUUGUAAGAAACCAGAGGAUGACAGCGGGAAGGGCUGUGUGGAGGAUUGUCUG